UUCAGUGAAUGAAGUUAUGAUGGAUCCGUUAUUCAACCUGCACAGGCCAGGGGCGUGCCCGCCGUUCCUUGCUGCCUGCCUGUGACACCCCAACAAAGAUUUCGGCAUCACAUCUUAUGAUUUGGAGUAUCUGUUGCCCUGCAAGGUGGACUCAAGAUGAAAUCAAAACCCUAAAAACACAGAGAACCCGGACAGGCUUGUCCUGACCUCUCCACCCCGCCUCCCCGAGACACCAUACAAGUUCAUCGCAAACCCCACGAGAACUCAGAUGUCUUCGGUUAUGAUGGGACUUCCGACAGAUGCAUCCACUCUCUCAAAAUUUCAUUUCUGGUCUGUGUAACCCAGCGGCAGGGCAGAGCUAGCUUCCAAACCCUCUGUGAUGGUUUAGAAAAGGAAACUAAAUCCCUAGAGCCCAGGAGAAGGAGAAGGGAGGGGCUGUGCAGACAACUCUGAGGAUUCCAGCUUCCAGUUCCCCCUGCCUCGGGCUGCCUUCCACCCCCGCAGUCAGAGCCAUCCUUCCCAACCCAGC
This is a long non-coding RNA of Hipposideros armiger (great roundleaf bat), 529 nucleotides long. RefSeq lists it as uncharacterized. The record is from RefSeq and is a predicted model, not a curated record. The transcript has 3 exons. Lineage: Eukaryota; Metazoa; Chordata; Mammalia; Chiroptera; Hipposideridae.